RNAcentral lists this ribosomal RNA (442 nucleotides) under uncultured bacterium. Its description in RNAcentral is "SSU rRNA". It matches the Rfam family "Bacterial small subunit ribosomal RNA", at positions 369 to 808 of the family's 1533-position model. The record is from RNAcentral.
GUAUGGGCGAGAGCCUGAACCAGCCNAGUAGCGUGAAGGAUGACUGCCCUAUGGGUUGUAAACUUCUUUUAUAAAGGAAUAAAGUCGGGUAUGCAUACCCGUUUGCAUGUACUUUAUGAAUAAGGAUCGGCUAACUCCGUGCCAGCAGCCGCGGUAAUACGGAGGAUCCGAGCGUUAUCCGGAUUUAUUGGGUUUAAAGGGAGCGUAGAUGGAUGUUUAAGUCAGUUGUGAAAGUUUGCGGCUCAACCGUAAAAUUGCAGUUGAUACUGGAUAUCUUGAGUGCAGUUGAGGCAGGCGGAAUUCGUGGUGUAGCGGUGAAAUGCUUAGAUAUCACGAAGAACUCCGAUUGCGAAGGCAGCCUGCUAAGCUGCAACUGACAUUGAGGCUCGAAAGUGUGGGUAUCAAACAGGAUUAGAUACCCUGGUAGUCCAAGGGCGAAUUC